This is a non-coding RNA of Pelobates cultripes (western spadefoot toad), 238 nucleotides long. The record is from the annotation of a GenBank genome assembly. Lineage: Eukaryota; Metazoa; Chordata; Amphibia; Anura; Pelobatidae.
UGAAGAACCCCAUUGGUUCAGACUAAUAUCAAUGUCUAAAUCUUGUUUCCAAACCUGUAUGGCAGUAGGGUUUAUAUCUUUUGCCAUUGAUUUAGUUAAUAUCAGAGCUUUAGAGAGUGGUCUAUUAGUUUUUUUUGACGUAAAUAAUGAAUCAAUCAAAUUGCUCAAAUUAGAUUUUGGUAUUAUAAGGAAUGUAUUCAUAUAACUUUUAAGUCUUAAAAAAUUAAACACCUCUCUA